RNAcentral lists this unclassified non-coding RNA (258 nucleotides) under Hevea brasiliensis (rubber tree). The record is from RNAcentral. Lineage: Eukaryota; Viridiplantae; Streptophyta; Magnoliopsida; Malpighiales; Euphorbiaceae.
GCGCACACACACACAUAUAUAUAUGGUCAAGACACUUGUUUUUCUACACCUGUUUCCUGAAUAGGUAUGCUUAUAAUUGUAUGCCCACUAUAAAGGAUGUUGAAGAGGAGGGGAAUGCCGAAUGCAUAUAAAUAGGGGAUGGCGUGCAAUAAUUACUCUUCUGAGUUAUUGUGUUGUUUUGAUGUACCGUACUUGUUGAUUUAUAACUUAAUGAAUCUAUUUUUGAUUCUGCAGAUUGUUCCUAGAAGAGAGACCAGU